RNAcentral lists this unclassified non-coding RNA (229 nucleotides) under plant metagenome. RNAcentral's name for it is "partial contains small subunit ribosomal RNA, internal transcribed spacer 1, and 5.8S ribosomal RNA". The record is from RNAcentral.
UCUCCGUAGGUGAACCUGCGGAGGGAUCAUUACAGAGUUCUCGCCCUCGCGGGUAGAUCUCCCACCCACUGUUAUCGUUACUGUGUUGCUUUGGCGGGCCGCCGGGCCCCGCUCGGCCGCCGGCUCCGGCUGGCGCGCGCCCGCCAGAGGCCCAGCAAACUCUGAAUGUUAGUGUCGUCUGAGUACUAUAUAAUAGUUAAAACUUUCAACAACGGAUCUCUUGGUCCUG